Molecule: long non-coding RNA, 1364 nt
Organism: Pezoporus occidentalis (night parrot)
Lineage: Eukaryota; Metazoa; Chordata; Aves; Psittaciformes; Psittacidae
Exons: 3
Source: RefSeq, a predicted model, not a curated record
GAUUUUCUGUAUUGUUUUUUUUUAUUUCAUAAAGCUCUUUAUCUCUGGCUUUGUACCUCAGCUAUUCCUACAUGCCACCAACCUUCUUCUGACCACUAUCCUUGCGCAACCAGAGAGGAAAAUAUGCAUUGACUGAAAUGGUACCAUCAGUUGGAAGCUACAGGUUCAAUCUUGGCAGUGAAUAUUCCAGGAUUCCAGCUCAAAAGAGACUGGAAUGACUCCGCUUUCCGCAAAUCCUCAGGUUUCCCUGCUAGAAUCCAUCUUAAGCUCAGCAAGAGCUGUUGACUGGGAAUGGAAAGGACCUAACAGGCAAGUCUUACAGUGCUCAAAUCUCUCCUUCAUUGUUUUGACAUUUCUCUCUGCUUUUCCCUUCCAAAAUUGAAUGGCUGCUCAUGGAGCACAGUGACCUGCUCUGGAGGGCUCUCCCGGGCCUGUGGUUUCAUGCUCUGCAACCUCAUCCAAGACAACAGCCUUUGGGGUUUCCCUUCCAGCCUGUCUGCCACAGAGUGCUUUGGAGCAGGUGCAUUUCUAUAGUGCAGGACUGAGCAUGGGGAGCUGAGCAGAGCAUGUGAUGGAGUGUGUCCUGUGCAGAGGCUGUCCCUACGCACUGCUCCCCAGCCCCAUGCCAGCACUUAAUGGUGUGUUGCAUUUGCAUAAUGUACAUAAAUUGGUAUAGGUCUUGAGCAAUUACAUUGGCAUCAGCAUGUCUUUUUCCCUUGCCAAGCAGCAAAGGCACCAUGUCUCCUGUUGUGGAGCAUGCCAACACCUUAACUAUGCUCCUGCCAACAUCCGACAUAAAUCAUCCCUUAUCCAGCCGUCCCCUGUCCUUCUGAAGGUUGCAGUCCUGGAAUCCCAUCCCAUUCUUUGGUUAUCCAGGGAGGUAUUUACUCGCUCUCGGGUGCAGUUGACAUAGUAAGAUGGGAUGUGUUUCAGAGCCUUUCUGUUCUGGGACUCCUCCUGCUUCAUUGCAAGUGAUACACGGUUGGUCUCUGCUUCCUUAGAGCAUCACAUAGCAGAUAGAGCAACGCAUUUGAUCUCUCUGUGUAGUUUUAUGGUAAGCCACUACCUGAGCUUGUAGGAUCUGCUCUCCUUUCCACUGUGAGCAUUCCUAAGCAUGUGCUGUGAUGAGAUCCCCCUCCACGACUUUAGGACCAGUCUGCCCAGGUCAGCCCAGCACACAGUGCCUGGGAGGUGACAGUCCAACUUGCUGAACGCCACCGAACACUUUAGACCAUUGAUCAUUUGGGCUUGAAGAACAGAUGUUCCUUCAAGGAACAGCCAAGUUGGGAGCUAAAGCUGCAAGGUGGCUGGGGCUUUGGUGAACCUCUUGUCUGGCUCCAGCACUUUAGUGAUAGAAUUUAACU